Podarcis lilfordi (Lilford's wall lizard) is the source of this 76-nucleotide non-coding RNA. The record is from the annotation of a GenBank genome assembly. NCBI's taxonomy places the organism in Eukaryota, Metazoa, Chordata, Lepidosauria, Squamata, Lacertidae.
AUCUCUGCAUAGCUCAGUCAGUUAGAACAUGGCGCUGAUAAUGCCAAGGUUGCAAGUUCAAUCCCCGUAAGGGACA